ACACAGGAUAGGUGCUGGUGUGCAAGGCCAGGCCUAGGUGUAGCCACUGGGAGAAGGAGGUACAAGAGCCAUCACCUGGGUGAAAAGCUGCAAGCAGUGGGAAGCCUGAGUCUUUGCCCCUGGAGGACUGAUGGCUGUGUGCACAUGUGCCUGAAGUAUUGUCAGUCUCAUCUCUCCUGGAUCUUGGAUUUGGAGUCUUGCCAUACCCAAAACCCACAGGCAGGACUCCGUCUCUCAUCAUUGAAGUGGAAAAUAAGUUAGCAAAACAUGUACUGACUCUUAUCUAGAUUUGUCCUUCAUAACUCUUUUGGAGAUUCUGAAAUGCUCACUGUUUAUAUUCAGAUUAUUCUCCUAGGGUUUCCAGAUGGGAGC
Ictidomys tridecemlineatus (thirteen-lined ground squirrel) is the source of this 372-nucleotide non-coding RNA. The record is from RefSeq and is a predicted model, not a curated record. NCBI's taxonomy places the organism in Eukaryota, Metazoa, Chordata, Mammalia, Rodentia, Sciuridae.